RNAcentral lists this ribosomal RNA (232 nucleotides) under uncultured bacterium. RNAcentral describes it as "partial 16S ribosomal RNA". It matches the Rfam family "Bacterial small subunit ribosomal RNA", at positions 99 to 334 of the family's 1533-position model. The record is from RNAcentral.
CGGACGGGUGAGUAAUGUAUGGGGAUCUGCCUGAUGGCGGGGGAUAACUACUGGAAACGGUAGCUAAUACCGCAUAAUGUCUGCGGACCAAAGCGGGGGACCUCCGGGCCUCGCGCCAUCAGAUGAACCCAUAUGGGAUUAGCUAGUAGGUAAGGUAACGGCUUACCUAGGCGACGAUCCCUAGCUGGUCUGAGAGGAUGAUCAGCCACACUGGGACUGAGACACGGCCCAA